UCUGUUUUUUCCUCCCUCCAUUUUGCAUGUCACGAGAUGAGUAGCUGAGAUUCUUAUGCACUAACAUCAGUUCCCUUUUGGGGGCCUCAACACGGUUCCAGAGAUCUACUGGUGGCUCCACUGGGGAGCCCCCCUCCAGCAAGCUGCCCCCCUGAAGAUCUACCUAUUAAGAAAAAGCCCAGGCAGAGCACAGUGAGUUGGCUGGUCAGCCUGGUACUUGCCAUUUGCCGUGUAUGCAGUAGGUGGUGAGUUUGUCGAGACGAGCUUAGAGAAUUGUUACUGAGGAAGGCUCUAUGAGGUCCUAAGGUUUUUGCUUCUUCAUUCAAAUUACAAAAGGGAUCUCAAGAGACCCUUGCAUUGAACAGAUGAAACUACUCCGCUCCUCAGGGCAAUUAGGGAGGGUAGACCUGCAUCUUUCUUCUUUGUACACACUGGGACAAGACGACUGCUUCAUUGAUUCUUGAGCAAGAGGAACCGUGAAAGAAAGCCAAUUUUUGAUGUUGAAGUGACGUAGCAUUUCUGCUGUAGUUGGAAAUAGCACUGUCUCUCCAGUGUCCCAAAUUCACUUCCAUUAAACGGUCGAUGUGAUAAA
Molecule: long non-coding RNA, 592 nt
Filed under: Rattus norvegicus (Norway rat)
Lineage: Eukaryota; Metazoa; Chordata; Mammalia; Rodentia; Muridae
Description: long non-coding RNA NONRATT027595
Source: RNAcentral